AGAAAGAGACGGACAAAGACUGGGAACAGGCAGAGCAUGGGUGGAACUAUUAACACAAGUAUCUGUUUUAGCACCACCCAUGCACUGCCUCUUCCCUGGCUUGCGGGUCUUCUUUUUCU
Molecule: microRNA precursor, 119 nt
Filed under: Manihot esculenta (cassava)
Lineage: Eukaryota; Viridiplantae; Streptophyta; Magnoliopsida; Malpighiales; Euphorbiaceae
Description: MIR408 microRNA precursor family
Rfam family: MIR408 microRNA precursor family
Source: Rfam by way of RNAcentral